RNAcentral lists this ribosomal RNA (253 nucleotides) under uncultured bacterium. Its description in RNAcentral is "partial 16S ribosomal RNA". It matches the Rfam family "Bacterial small subunit ribosomal RNA", at positions 524 to 776 of the family's 1533-position model. The record is from RNAcentral.
UACAGAGGGUGCGAGCGUUAAUCGGAAUUACUGGGCGUAAAGCGCACGUAGGCGGCUUGGUAUGUCGGGUGUGAAAUCCCCGGGCUCAACCUGGGAACUGCAUCCGAAACUGCCUUGCUAGAGUAUGGGAGAGGGAAGUGGAAUUUCCGGUGUAGCGGUGGAAUGCGUAGAUAUCGGAAGGAACAUCAGUGGCGAAGGCGACUUCCUGGACCAAUACUGACGCUCAGGUGCGAAAGCGUGGGGAGCAAACAGG